GUGAGAGUAGCUCAAUGGUAGAGCAUCUGACUGUUAAUCAGAAGGUUGGAGGUUCGAUCCCUCUCUCUCACA
This is a non-coding RNA of Amoeboaphelidium occidentale, 72 nucleotides long. The record is from the annotation of a GenBank genome assembly. Lineage: Eukaryota; Fungi; Aphelidiomycota; Aphelidea.